Long non-coding RNA from Ictalurus punctatus (channel catfish), 842 nucleotides. The record is from Ensembl. Lineage: Eukaryota; Metazoa; Chordata; Actinopteri; Siluriformes; Ictaluridae.
AUGAGAUUAACCAGCAGGUUCAACAGCGAGGCUGCAAAUCACAUACACAAACAAACCGCUGCAGACUCAUUUAUCAUCUGCUGCUGGAAUAGUCGGGCGCGUUUCGACGAACAGACAGCUGGUAAUUCCUGCAGGAACGGUGCUCUGGAAUGGUGCUCAGUAUCAGCACAUCCUGCCACAGUGGAUGAAGAUGAAGACACCACUUCUGCUGUGACAGAGGUACAAAAUGAAGAUGCUGGGAGGACCACAGAGAUUAUGGCUGGGGAUUCCUGUACAGAGGAAGGUCCAUCUACAUCCACACAGAAUGUAAAAAUUGUUUGCAGUUGUCCUGAUUAAAAAUAUUUGGUCUGUGUAUUACAGAUUAUAUAUCAAUUAUAUUGAAUUAUCAUUCUGUCUUCCAAGCUGCCUGAAAAAGGAGCUGUAUAAGGUCCAUCUUCAAAUGCAAAUUAGAAAAGUUGAUCUGGAGCUGGACCUUCUACAACUACAAAUGGAGAAGAAAAAAAAAACGUGAACUUAAAAAGGCCAGUCUUGAAACUGAAUUGCUGAAGCACUGGUAUUUUUAAGCAAAUAUUAAGUAUUUACCUAGUGAUUAUUGUUGAAUGGUCAAGCAAUAAAUAGAAAUGUCUUUCAAUUAGAGGAAAUAAAGAAACAAUGAACCACACUUAACUGUUCACUUUGUGCAUUAGUCAUUUAAUUAGAAAUGAUGUUGGCAGAUCACAUUACACUCUGCAAUCUCUUUGGUUCACUCUUGCUAUCUUCAUAAAUGGUUCAUCAUGGUUUAUGGCCAGAGAACUUCACAACAUUGUGUAGACCAGCUCAUUGAUGGUUAGACCAAUUUUAAC